CAUGCAGUCGAGCGGAUGACAGGAGCUUGCUCCUGAUUCAGCGGCGGACGGGUGAGUAAUGCCUAGGAAUCUGCCUGGUAGUGGGGGACAACGUUUCGAAAGGAACGCUAAUACCGCAUACGUCCUACGGGAGAAAGCAGGGGACCUUCGGGCCUUGCGCUAUCAGAUGAGCCUAGGUCGGAUUAGCUAGUUGGUGAGGUAAUGGCUCACCAAGGCGACGAUCCGUAACUGGUCUGAGAGGAUGAUCAGUCACACUGGAACUGAGACACGGUCCAGACUCCUACGGGAGGCAGCAGUGGGGAAUAUUGGCAUGGGCGAAGCUGAUCCAGCAUGCGCGUGUGUGAAGAAGGCUCGGAUUGUAAGCAUUUAGUUGGAAGAGGUGUAAAUAUACCUGCAUUUGACUUCCCACAAAUAACCCGCUACUUGUGCACACCGGGAUAAAAGGGCAGCUUAACGAAUUCGGGUAAACCCCCAGGGUCUAUGGAUGAAUCCCCGGGCCCCGGGAAAGGUUAAAUUGUGUUGAAGGGAAGGGGGGAAUCCUGGGCCGCAAAGGGUAAA
Molecule: ribosomal RNA, 558 nt
Filed under: bacterium amp-w-49
Lineage: Bacteria
Description: bacterial SSU rRNA
Rfam family: Bacterial small subunit ribosomal RNA (bases 1-450)
Source: RNAcentral